AGUGUGUGCCUUACUAUGUGUGAGGAGGUGCUGUCUUGCUUUCAGUGUGUAAAUAUCAUGCCUUGAUGGAGAAACUGCAGCAGAGAGGCCCCGCUGCCCCAGCACAUCUGUCACAGCCCACACAACACCUCCAGAGUGAGAGCAACAAAUUCAACGAACUGCCAAGUUGUCUGUACCACCUGGGUGCAAGCAGGAAUGAAGAAACUGGCCCAGAGAGGUGAAACAACCCAGCCGAUGUCAUGUCGUAGCUAAGAUGACAGCUGUUGGCCUGUACCUCGGCCCUCAAGUUUCCCAUGCAAUGUGCUUCCUACUAUUCAUUGUUGCCCCGUCUCUAGGUUGUUAUCAAAUGGACCCUGCCAGACUGAAUUUCUUCCUGCAAAGAGGACAGUCCAGGUCUGCUGAUGGGUUUCCAACACAGGAAACUCAGGGGUUCUAAUACCUCCUCUUGACCCAGUAACUGACAAGCCCUGAGCCUCAGGAUUCCUGGCCCUGUCCCCUCUCACCUCCUCUGCCAAACCAUGGUACUAGAAGAAAAUUACAAGAGAAAAUAUGACACAAAUUGUGAAAAUGGUAUACAGCAGCUCAGCUUUGGGAAACGUGAGUCCUGUCUGCUUAUGGAUGUAUCGAUUCAUGGGUAUUACACUUGUCUCCCAAGUUGCUUGCUGAUGCUUUCAAGGUCAGGUAAUAACAUUCUCCAAGGAACUAAGCGGAGUGGCUGUCCUCAUUUCUCCCCUGACCUGCAGGCUGGCUGGCUGGUUGCCUUGCUUCUGGGAGAUGGCCAGGCAGCCUGUUGCUCCCUGUGCCCCUCACCGACCAGGCAGCUCACUCCCUUUGUGGCAGCCUCAUG
Molecule: long non-coding RNA, 847 nt
Filed under: Homo sapiens (human)
Lineage: Eukaryota; Metazoa; Chordata; Mammalia; Primates; Hominidae
Description: novel transcript
Source: RNAcentral